Molecule: ribosomal RNA, 253 nt
Filed under: uncultured bacterium
Lineage: Bacteria
Description: partial 16S ribosomal RNA
Rfam family: Bacterial small subunit ribosomal RNA
Source: RNAcentral
UACAGAGGUGGCAAGCGUUAAUCGGAAUUACUGGGCGUAAAGCGUGCGCAGGCGGUUGUGCAAGACAGAUGUGAAAUCCCCGGGCUCAACCUGGGAACUGCAUUUGUGACUGCACAGCUUGAGUGCGGCAGAGGGGGAUGGAAUUCCGCGUGUAGCAGUGAAAUGCGUAGAUAUGCGGAGGAACACCGAUGGCGAAGGCAAUCCCCUGGGCCUGCACUGACGCUCAUGCACGAAAGCGUGGGGAGCAAACAGG